GUUUGCCAGCAGUGUGUUCCGCAAAUUAUUUCACCCAUGAACACAGAUUCGAAGCUGAUGUUUAUACUUGAUUCCUCAUCUGUACAGAAACCACUGCCCAAGAAUCAUUGCUGCAACCACUCUGAAGAGCCCAUUUUACACAGUGCUGCCAUUGCUAUGCGUUGCCAGAAAGAGAAAAGCACCUGGCAUUCUCCGUGCAAGAGCUGCAUCAUCCCAGCUUUGUUCUUGAUGUAGUCGAAUGGAAACUCAUUUUGAUGCCGCUCAUAAAGGGUUUCCAUACCUCUUUUGAGCCACACAGGCAGCGACUCCUUGUGCGACAUGAUUGAAGGAGUAAUGAUCACCAAAAAGAAAAGUGAAAAUGG
This is a long non-coding RNA of Numida meleagris (helmeted guineafowl), 362 nucleotides long. RefSeq lists it as uncharacterized. The transcript has 4 exons. NCBI's taxonomy places the organism in Eukaryota, Metazoa, Chordata, Aves, Galliformes, Numididae. The record is from RefSeq and is a predicted model, not a curated record.